This 23831-nucleotide long non-coding RNA is filed under the name Malus domestica (apple). RNAcentral describes it as "long non-coding RNA (MDOM_LNC011111)". Lineage: Eukaryota; Viridiplantae; Streptophyta; Magnoliopsida; Rosales; Rosaceae. The record is from RNAcentral.
UGUGACGGUCAUAUUAAAAAAUCUCUACUUAUCUGUUGAGAUUUUUAUUAAGAUUUUCAACUAUUCAUGCAAUGACACGUGUCCUUAUCCAAUCUUAUGAUUUAUUAUAUUUCCCCAUAAAAACCGCUUUAAACCUCCAGAUGCUCACACCAAGCCGCACCUCCUCUCCAUCCUCCCUACUCAUACAGCUCUCACUCUCCGCAAUUCUCCCCUAUCUUCUCGUCGAUUCUCACCUCCAUAUUCGUCUCUUGACUCCGGCUGUCCCUAUCAUACUCUCCGCAGUCCAUCAUCUGUGUCUCUCCAGCGGCUCCUUUGAUGAAGGUUGUUUCAGUAUUUAUAGGGAUGCUGGGUUUUUUGUGAAUUAGAAAAGGGGAUUUAUAAUUUAUAGUUGGUUUGUGAAAGAGAUAUAUCUCCUCAGCUAUCCAUCUCAUUUCAACCCCAUGGCUUCUCACACAAUGUCUUUGCCCUUUUUUUUUUUUGUUUUUUUUUGUUUUUUUUUUUGUUUUUUUUUGUUUCUUCUGUUCUUUUAAAUUGUGCUGCUGAUAUGUAAGCCAUUUGCGCAAGGAGACCAAUUUCGCUUGGGUUACAGAGUAAGGGGAGUUGGUUCGUGAAAUGGAAGGGUGAAAUGGAAGGGUUUAGGUUAAAGCCCAAAUUAUCAGUUCUCUCCAACUAAUUACUAAACAAUUAUACAUUUUUACUUUUGAUUUCCUACAGCUGUGAACUAUUUCACAUUUGCUUUCUUACAACUAUGAACUAAUUUCUUGCUGAUCCUUAUUUUUUGCUAGGUUUUCUUUGUUUCGCUGGGUUUCUUUUGCUAGGUUUUCUUUAACCCUUUGGAGUUUUGGGUCUGCUAACUAUUCGAAAUUGCUCAGUGUUUCUAGUUAGAUCUUUAGUCUUGUAACUUGUUACGUAUGCACAAUGACGAUUUGAUAUGCUUUCGCUUCUUCUUUGUUUGACUCUCUCUCAUUUGCGUAGUGUUUUAUUUUAAUCCUUCUCAGUUUCUAAUCCAAGGAUUUUCUUUCUUGUUUUGUAGUUUGUAGUUAAGUUAAUUAGAGGUUCCAAAAGAAGAAGUUGGUUUUAGUUUUGUCUUUCUUCCUUUUCUUUUGGCAAGAAGAUCAGAAAUAUGGCUGAGGAAGUCGUUUUAAGGGUAGUUCGAGCACUUAAAGGCUCCAUCCUUAGGCAAGUGAAGUUCUUGAGUGGUGUCAACCAUCAAGUUCUGGAUGCAAAACAUUAGCUAUUUUUUAUAGAGGGUUUUCUGAAAGACGUGAAUGCAAGACAAGUAGAGCAUGAAUCAGUAUGCAUUUUGGUCGAGUAUUUGGUGAAAGAAGAAAAACUCUACCGAGUUGUUUCCAUUUGAGGAAUGGGAGGAUUUGGAAAGAUCACUUUUGCAAAACGAGUUUAUCAUCACAGUAAAGGAUUUGGAAAGAUUACUUUGAUGGGUUUUCUUAGGUGUGUGUACUGAACAAUGUCAAAUAGGAAAGUACACACAUCCAAGAAAACCCAGACUUUCUUAUUUGACAUUGUUCAAUGCACACACCCAAGAAAACCCAUCAAAGUAACCUCUAACUUUACUGUGAUGAUAAACUCGUUUUGCAAAAGUGAUAUAUCCAAACCCUCCCAUUCCUCAAAUUGAAACAACUUGGUUGAGUUUUCUUCUUUCACCAAAUACUCAACCAAAAUGCAUACUGAUUCCUGCUCGACUUGUCUUGCAUCCACGUUUUUCAGAAAGCUCUCUAUAAAAAAUAGCUCAUGUUCUGCAUCCAGAAAUGGUUGACACCACUCAAGAACUUCACUCCCCUAAGGAUGGGGCCUUUGAGUGCUCGAAGUACCCUUAAAAUGACUUCCUUAGCCAUAUUUCUGAUCUUCUUGCCAAAAGAAUGGGAAGAAAACUAAAACCAACUUCUUCUUUUGAAACCUCUAAUUAACUCAACUACAUACUACAAAACAAGAAAGAAAAUUUCUGGGUUAGAAACUAAGAAGAAUUAAAAUAAAACUCUCCGCAAAUGAGAGAGAGUCUAACAACGAAGAAGCAAAAGCAUAUCAAAUCGUCAUUGUGUAUACGUAACUAGUUACAAGACUAAAGAUCUAACUAGUUAGCAGACCCAAAACUCCAAGGGGUCAACUUCAAACCUCCCAAGAUGAUUUUAGGAACUUGUACAUGAAACAAAAAAAAUACCCAAAACAAAAAAUGAAGCAUAUCACUAUGAACCAUACCCUAAUUAUCAGUUAAGAAAAGAUGAAAGUGAUAGGGUUUAUGUCAAAACCCCAAACAAAAGCCGUGUUUUCUCCAUUCACCUCUUUUCCCGAGGACUGUGAAAUACCAGUGGAACAAUUGACUUAAUUAUGGAUAGCUGAAGGUUUUAUAUCAGCAUCUACAAAUAAAAAGAUAGAAGACAUAGCAUAUGAGUGCUUAAUUGAGUUGAAACGCUUGUGUUUGGUUCAAGUUGGAAGAAUGUAUUCACUUUGCAAGUUCAAGUUGGAACGUCUCCAUGAUCUUAUUGUUGCGAGUUAUACAUUAGUUAAAAUGUAAAUAGUAGUUUAUUGUCCCACAUUGGUGAAGUACAUAUGUAAUACCAAUUGUAACUCCUAUAUAUACUCCACUUUGGAGAUUAAUGAAAUAUAAGAAAUUCCCAAAUAUUGUCAUAUAUAUUUUUGGUAUUUACCAUGUUUAGUUUAAUAUUGGUAUUUACCAUGUUUAGUUCAAUAUGGCAUCAGAGCAGUUCGCUCUUGGUGACUUGUGUGCUUUAAAUUUUGUGCCCACAUUUUUCGUGAUUUCCUCCGUGUGAAAAAAAAAAAAAAAAAGUGCCGUGAACAGUGAUUGGUAUUUGCUACAGUACCGUGAACAGUGAUUGCUACAGUCUCUGGUAAAUUGUUUUCAUUCCGCUGCGUAUCUUUUGUGCCUUUAUUGUUCGUGAUUUUGUUCAAUGGCUCAAUAUAAUCAUAGUGUUGUUAUGCAUCUUGGUGGAACAAAUAAAUGGAUAAUUGAUACUGGGGCCACUAAUCAUGUGACAAGUGACCCUAGAGUGUUUGAUGAGUUAUGUGAUUAUGUUCGUGAUCCGUAUAUUACUAGUGCAAAUGGAGCACUUUCCCUUGUGAAGGGUGAAGGCACUAUCUCUUUGACUCCAACCUUAUCACUGGUCCGUGCUUUACUUGUUCCUGAUAUUAAGUGCAAUCUUUUGUCGGUAGGAAAACUUCUUGAUACUUUAUAUUGUUCUGCUCACUUCUAUCCUACGUAUUGUUAUUUUCGAGAUAUUCAAACUUAGAAGAUAAUUGGUUAUGGUAAAAGGAUAGGGGGUUUGUACAUCUUGACUAUGGAGGAUACUGUUGUUUCCGGUUCAAAUAAUCAUCAAGUUUUAAGUGCUAAAGUGGAUAACAGACAUCAAAUUUGGUUGUGGCAUCGACGAUUGGGACAUCCAUCAUUCAGUUAUAUGAAGCAUCUAUUUCCUUCUUUGUUUCGCACUUGUAGUGAUUCAGAGUUCAAGUGUGAAACAUGUGUCAUGGCUAAGAGUCAUCGUGCUUCCUUUCCUGUAAGUGAUUCUAAAGCUACUUUACCAUUUGAUUUGAUACAUUCUGAUGUGUGGGGUCCUGCAAAAGUUACUUCUAAUGGAUUCCGUUGGUUUGUUACUUUUAUUGAUGAUUGUACUCGGGUAACUUGGGUGUUCUUGAUGAAAAAUAAGAGUGAUGUUCCGUUACUUCUUCAAGAAUUUUGUACAAUGGUAUCUACUCAGUUUCAGACCAAAGUUAAGGUCUUCAGGUCUGAUAACGGAGGAGAAUAUGUGAAUCACACUUUGGCAUGUUUUUUUCCGUGAUCAUGGUAUUAUUCACCAGACGACUACUCCGUUUACACCCCAACAAAAUGGUGUGUCCGAACGGAAGAAUCGUCAAAUAAUGGAGGUUGCUCGCUCCUUGAUGCUAGAUAAAUGUGUUCCUAAUCAUUUGUGGGGUCAUGCUGUUUUGGCUGCUGUGUAUUUGAUCAAUCGUGUUCCAAGUCGGGUUCUUGAUUUUCAGACACCGUUUGAUGUGCUACAAAAACAUGUUUCUCUUGUUUCUGUCUCAAAGCUUCCUCCGAAAGUGUUUGGGUGUAUUGCGUAUGUGCAUGUCUACUCUCAUCAGCGGAGUAAACUUGAUGCAUGUGCUCUCCGGUGUGUCUUUAUUGGGUAUGCUAACAAUCAAAAAGGCUAUAAGUGUUAUCAUCCUCCGACUCAAAAAACUUAUAUUACCAUGGAUGUCACCUUCCAUGAGGAAGUUUCGUAUUUUGUGAAGCCCUCUUCCGACUCUCCACUUCAGGGGGAGAGGGGGAGUGAAGUGCAGAUUCGAAGAGAUGAUAUGGAUGAUGUGUUACAGACAGAGUUGGGAACAGAACCUAUUAUUUUGCGUGAUACUAAUCAGUCGGCUACAGAUGAUCAGUUGCCUGCUGCGGAUAUAUCUGAUGAUCGGUUGCCUGCUGCUGAUAUGUCUAACGAGUUGCCUGAUGAUGGUUCGUCCAGUGAUGAUUCUUCUAACUGUUUGGUACAAGAUGGUGGCAUACAUGAGGUAAAUUCUGACGAUUCUUCUACUUAUCAGUUGCCUCCACGAGCUAAUCGUGGAAAACCUAAAAUACAAUAUGAGCCUGAUAUGCAUGCCAAAGCCAAAUAUCCUAUCAACAAUUAUGUGUCUUCUCAUCGUUUGUCCCAACCAUAUGCAUCUUACAUAUGUCAGCUAUCUAGUGUAUCAAUUCCAACAAAAUUGCAAGAUGCUUUGUCUGACCCUAAGUGGGUUAAUGCUAUGAAAGUUGAGAUGGAAGCUUUGGAAAAGAAUUCUACUUGGGAUUUGGUUCCGUUACCAAACGGGAAGAAAGCCGUUGGAUGUAGAUGGGUGUUUACUAUUAAGCACAAAGCAGAUGGUUCUAUUGAUCGGUAUAAAGCCAGAUUAGUUGCUAAGGGUUAUACUCAAACCUAUGGGGUGGACUAUCAGGAGACCUUUGCUCCUGUUGCCAAACUUAAUACUGUGCGUGUUCUUCUGUCCUUGGCAGCAAACCAGGAUUGGCCUCUGUUGCAGUUUGAUGUUAAGAAUGCUUUCCUUCAUGGUGAUCUUAAGGAGGAAGUGUAUAUGGAUCUCCCACCUGGUAUUGGAACAUCUCCUGGAAAAGGUAUUGUAUGCAGGUUACGAAAUGCCUUGUAUGGUUUGAAACAAUCUCCUAGAGCAUGGUUUGGGAGGUUUACAAGUUCAAUGAAGAAGUUUGGGUAUAUCCAGAGUCAUUCAGAUCAUACUUUGUUUCUAAAGCGACAAAAUGGUAAGCUAACUGCAUUGAUUAUUUAUGUUGAUGACAUGAUAGUGACUGGUGAUGAUCAAAAGGAGAUACAACACCUUCAAAAGUACCUAGCUACUGAGUUUGAGAUGAAAGAAUUGGGUGAAUUGAAGUAUUUUCUUGGAAUCGAGGUUGCACGAUCCAAGCAUGGUAUUUUUCUAUCUCAAAGGAAGUAUGUUCUUGAUUUGUUAGCUGAAACAGGUAUGUUAGAUUGCAAACCUGUUGAUACUCCGAUUGAGCAGAAUCAUCGUCUGGGCUUAUUUCCAGAUCAAGUUCCAACUCAUAAGGAACGGUAUCAGAGGCUUGUGGGGAGAUUAAUUUAUUUGUCUCACACUCGCCCUGACAUUGCUUAUGCAGUUAGUGUGGUAAGUCAGUUUAUGCACUCACCUAGUGAAGUUCAUAUGGAUGCAGUAACUCGUAUUUUGAGGUACUUGAAGAUGGCUCCUGGCAGAGGCCUGGUUUUCUCCAAGAAUGAUCAUUUGAAUGUCGAAGGGUAUACAGAUGCAGAUUGGGCUGGUUCUAUCACUGAUCGGCGAUCUACAUCUGGAUACUUUAUGUUUGUGGGUGGUAAUUUAGUUACUUGGAGAAGCAAGAAACAAAAAGUGGUGGCUAGGUCAAGUGCAGAAGCUGAGUUUCGUGGUAUGUCUCAUGGUGUAUGUGAGUUGUUGUGGUUGAAAAAAUUGUUGAGAGAUCUUGGGUUUAAACACAAAAGUGCUAUGAAACUUCAUUGUGAUAACAAGGCUGCUAUUGAGAUUGCUCAUAAUCCAGUGCAACAUGAUCGAACAAAACAUGUGGAGAUUGAUCGACAUUUCAUUAAGGAAAAAUUGGAUGCUGGAAUUAUUAUGUUUCCGUUUGUGAGAUCUGAAGAUCAACUGGCUGAUGCUCUUACUAAGGCUGUGUCUAAUAGUGCGUUUUCCGACUCGCUUGACAAGUUGGGCAUGCGUGACAUCUUUGCACCAACUUGAGGGGGAGUGUUGCGAGUUAUACAUUAGUUAAAAUGUAAAUAGUAGUUUAUUGUCCCACAUUGGUGAAGUACAUAUGUAAUACCAAUUGUAACUCCUAUAUAUACUCCACUUUGGAGAUUAAUGAAAUAUAAGAAAUUCCCAAAUAUUGUCAUAUAUAUUUUUGGUAUUUACCAUGUUUAGUUUAAUAUUGGUAUUUACCAUGUUUAGUUCAAUACUUAUAUGAGAGCAUCUUAGAGGCGAACUUCGUACAUUGUCAAUUGUUCUAGAGACACGGUAAAAGUAUGUUAUACUUUCUUGUAUUCAUUAAGCCUUUUCUUUUGUUUGGUAAGAUUAUUCUUGUUGUAUCCAUUAUUUUGAUUGGAAGAUUGAUCGCUGCCUAUGGACAUAGGCACAAAUUGACGAACCACGUAAAUCCUUGGGCCUCGUUUGGCAGCUCGGAUUGUACUAACUAUUUCUGUUGGAUAGGAUAAAUAGCCACCGGAUAGUAUUGAAUAAAUUAGUUGGACGUUUGGUGCAGUAUCAGAUUAAUGACCAUAUUAUUUAUACUGUGUUUGGUAUUGAACCGGAUAGGACAAGAGGAAAAAAAAAUUAAUUUGUUGAAAUUUUCUCAUAUUUAUACCUAUUGAAAACCACACAAAUUUUCAAAUAACAAAGAAAAAUAGUAAAUUUCAUACAUCAAAUUCAAAAUAUUUUCCAAUAACAUAAAAGAAGGUUCACAAAAAAACAACUACAAUCGUUACGUUAUAUAAUUCAACCACAUAUUCAGGUUCAUUAAAUAUACAAAUACAAGUUGGUUUCAGUAAGAAACAGUUUGUCCAGAUAGCCAAAAUAUAUGCAUGCUGCUUUUAACAAAAGAUAUGCAUGAUAUUUUUAACAAAACAUAUUGUUGUUGGUUUGAAAUGUCAAUUGCGGUUGUCCAAGUAACAUGAGUACGAAAGCUUUUUUCAUUGCACCAUCCAAAGACAAGAAUGUCCUCUCAUUCUGUGGCUUUUCAAAAAGAAUAUUUAGUGUCUUGAUUUGAUCCUCAAUAGAUAAGUCCUCUCAUUCUGUGGCUUUUCAAAAAGAAUAUUUAGUGUCUUGAUUUGAUCCUCAAUAGAUAAAUCUAUCUUUGACAAUUCUAAAGCAAUCUCAGGUUUUGGAUCCACUCAUUUCCCAAAAGCAGCUUGUAAAACUUCAUCCAACUUAUCCAUUGAUUUAGAAAGCAUUUCUUUAAAUGCCACAGGAAGAUCAUUAUCAUUAGCAACUCUCUUCCUUUUCCGGGUACUUGAACUGCCAGACCGUCGAGCAACAGAAGGAGAACUAGUCUCCACCUCAUCUUCAUCUUCAUCUUCAUUAAUGUGCGCAAGCUAAUUCAUCAUCUGAGUAGGAGUUGUAGCUCCUACUCCGGUUGCUCGGUCUUUCCCAAAAAUAACAUUCAAUCUGUCAUACAAUGGAAACGAUUUUCCUAGCCAGCCCUCUGCUUCUUUGUUAACCUGCAAUGGGAAAACAAAUCACAUUAUCCAUAAAAUACAAAUAAUCUUAUUUUGUUCCCUUCAACCUGUCUUAAUAUAAUCAAGCAUCCAUUAAUUUAAUUAAGCUGUCAUAAUGAAUGGGGCUAAAGGAUAUGGUUUGGUAGACACAAUCAUACUAUUAAAUUGUAUGUAAAGGAACAUGUUAAGUAAUCAAAUAUGUAAAGUUAAAUUCUAGUAUUAUGUUAGAGAAUUACGUUUGCAUAGGACCGCCAUACUUUAGUGCUAUCAACCUCAAUACACUUUCGUACAUCAUUCCAUGCAAAACCAGUUUUAUUAACCAUGUCAUAAACUAUUGCAUAAUCUUUUUUCCACCUCCUCAUUUUGGACUCAAUAUAUGGAACUGCCUUUAUAUUGGCAUUAGGACAUUUCAAAUUAAUAGUUGUUUCAAACUGAGCCAUUGUUCCGAGUUUGAAACAACCGUUAUCACAUCGCAAAUUCUUAACAACUGCCUCCUCAAGUAUGGACAACAAUGCAUCUUCUUCAUGUUGUUUCCAAACCCUUUUACUCCCUUUUGGUUGACUACUUUGUUCACUUUCCAUUCCUAUAAUUACAUACACAAUAAGAUAGCAUAUAAUCAACAGUGCAUAUAAUUAAUAGUAAGUGAUAAAAACCAUAAGCAGAUCAUCACACUUUUUAAAUAAAUACAUAACCAUAUCACACUUUGUUCAAAUAAAGUAUCAUAACCGAAUACAUAAGAAAUCACUAUUUGUUCAAAUAACAAACCAUAACCAAAUGACAACAUGCAUAUGUAAGAAAAUUUAAUCAAAUCACACUUGUGCACGCCACUCAUUGUACAUAUUCAUAGCCAAAGUGUUUCUCCAUGCAGUCCAUUCUUGUGUAGGUUGAACAGUCUCAAUCAUAUCUUCAUCAUCAUCACUACUUUCAGAUUCGUCCAUGUUUAGAAUUUCAUUUUCUAUCGGAUCAGCUGACAUAUGCCUUCUAAUAAGAUUAUGUAAGAGGCAGCAGGCUGUCAUAAUCCUAAGUUGUGUUUUAAUUGGGAAAAAUGAUGGACCUCUUAAGAUGCUCCAACGCAUCUUAAGUAGUCCAAAACAUCUCUCAAUGACAUUUCUAGCUUGAACAUGUUUCAUAUUGAAAUACUCCUCAUGAUUAAUUGGGAGUCUUCUAUUUCUCCACUCCGAGAGAUGGUAACGCACUCCCCUAUACGGUGCAAGGUAUCCUGGACCAUUUGUGUACCCACCAUCCACAAGGUAGUAACACCCUAAAACACCAAAAAAUGUAUGUUACUAUAUAUAAGAAAAUUGAGGCUUCAAAUUACUAAUAUAAACAAAUAAUCUAUUGUUGCCCGUGGGAACUUUUAAUCCCGAUGGUCUACUUAUCGCAUCUCGGAGUACUCUAGAAUCAAAGGCCGACCCCCUGGGUACACAAAUAUAAAAUUCAUGUCCAGAUUACAAACUCCCAACAUAUUGGUCGCAAUCUCCCCCUUCCUUGAUCGGUAUCUUGGUUUAUCUCGCUUAGGGACAUGAACGUUAAUGUAAGUCCCAUCCAAUGCCCCCAAGCAAUUCUAAAAAAAAAAAUCAUUAACAUUAGUAAGCUCAAUAUAUUUAAUUACAUUAAUUUUAGAAGUAAUUUUUAUAAAAUAUGAAGAAUACCUCAAACCAACUCCAUUUAGGAUUUGGGUAGGCAUUAGGAAUGGGUUUUGGCACUUUCAAAAGUCUACAUUGUAGCCUUAACACUCCAUGUAGAAUGGAAUUGAAAUACCUACUUAUGGUCUCCCCUGAUCGACAAAACCUACUCCCAAUUGUACGAUUCUUGACAUGAUGUGCAAGUAUAUGCAAAAACAUGCAAACUUGUUCUUCCAUUGUCACUACACCAUCCAAUUUUACUCUAUCGUGGUCACGAAGCAUUUGACAUAAAUAAUGGAACGUUCUUCUAUCCAUUCUAAUUUGGUUCACACACUGAACAUCAUCAUAUCCUAUUAUGCUGUCUAAAUAGGCUGACCCUACCAUUCUCCUAACAAAUGUGCAAUUUCUAAGUGCAAGUUGCCAAUUCCGCCUUCUAGCUGAAUUAUGAUUCAUCAUGAACCACAUCAUCAACCAAGUCACAAUAUUCAAGUACCACAACUUAACAAUGAAGCAUGCACAAUCUUUCUUUCAUCCAUGUCUAGUGAAAAUAUAAAAUAACAUUAUUAGAUAGUGGCAAAAAAUUAAGUAACUGGAGCAUGAAGUCAUAAUAACACUGAAAACGGAAGGAAGCAUGUUAAUAAGUCCUACCAAAAAAUGUCAUAGGCAGAUAAUAAAUCCUACAGACUGUUGGGGUGAUCAGAAGGAAAAAUUACAAUGAAAUCAGAAAGAUGUCUUGACAUUCAUCAAUCAAGGAAGCAUGUUACGAAUCGAAUUCAAAAAAUCAAAACACCAAGUUCCGGAGAGAAAAGAAGUCUAGUCUAUGAUGACACUUUGUACGACCUCAAAGCAUUAUAUAUUCAUCACCUUAUGUUGCAUCAAAAUUGAGUGUCAUGUUGCAUCAAAAUUAAGCCGAAACAUUAGAAGAGCAGCAACUCUCCUUUUCUUCUCUAUUUCUCACUCACACUCUUUUUCUAAAAGGCAAUUACUUUACAAAGUGGAAUAAAUGCCAAUCAACAAUUCAACAACCCUAGUCCGAAAUUAUUCACACACACAUAUAUAUAUCCAGAUAAAAAGUAAAAUUCACAUAAAAAUUAAAAAAUGGAUAAAAGCUGAGAGGGAGUGAUGCAAAAAUUGAGAAGAACAGCAAUUUAUUGGGAUCUAAUUUUCGGGCCAUAGACGGUGAUGGGGAGUGAGAGAGAGAGAGAGAACAAGAGCGAAGAGAAAUUGGCUUACCCAGUUGUCCGUAUGGUUGCAUUGCAGCUGCGAGACAGCGAGUGAAAUGAGAGCUGCGCCAGAGACAAAGUUUUGUUUAGGUAAGUGAACAUGCACACUCCCACUCUACCCAAUCACUAAAGUUCUAAUUAAAGUUCAACAGCAACAACAAACCCUAAAUUCGACCCUAAUAGCAAACCCUAAAAUUCAAAAAUUCUAAUUAAAACACAAAAUUACAUAAUCAAUUGCAUAAUUAGAGAGAAAAUAAUAACUAGAUUCAAUCAAUUGCAAGAAAAAUAGGAGGGGGAAAAGGGAGGGGUGGAAUCCCAGAAGAAGAAAAGUAAAAGAUGAACUGUGAUUCAAACGAAGAAGAAGAAUUUGAGAAGACGAACCUGGGAUGAGAGCAAGAGUGCGUCUGGAGAGCAAGAGUGCGUCUGGAGAGGAAGAGAUAGCGUCUGGAGAGGAAGAGAGAGCGUCUGGAGAGGAAGAGAGAGCGCCUGGAGCGGAAAAGUGCGUUUGGAGAGGAAGCAGAAGAAGAGUGCGUCUGGAGAGGAAGGGGAAGAGUGCGUCUGGAGAGGAAGAGAGCCCGACUAAGUUAUACCAUGAAAUUGGAUGGUUUAAGCAAGCGGGUAAACACCAUGUAAAAAAGGUGGGCCCGGAUUAUUUAAUCUGGUGCCUAUUUAAUCCAAACAGCCACCAAACACCGUACACCGUAUUAUUAGUACUAUCCGGUGCCUUAUACAAUGUGCCAAACAGGGCCUUGGUGUCCAUCUUGCUACUGUACUUUGUGUUUUCUCUAUCCUGUAGUACUAUCAAUCUUAACAGUCUAGGUACAAUAACGAGUGAGCGUGUUAUUUUAUGAGCAUUGACUAUAAUUUAUAUGGAAACAACUCUUGGAUUUCCCUAUUAAAAUAGGAAACUAACACGCAAUUUCAAUCUAACUAUGUGUGUUAAGUAUCAUGAUUCAUUUAAAGUUUCAAUCCCAAACUAAUUAGGACAACAUUAAACUCUUUAUUAAGAUCUUUUCAUACCAAUUUGAAACACUAUAUUAGUCCAUAUAAUUGGAAAUCUAUCUAGUCAUUUAAGAAAAAGAAAAGGCCUAAUUGGAUAAAUGGUCCCCGUGGUCAUAAGGUAUUCGGAUGAUAGCCCCUGUGGUAAAAAAAUUCGGAUUUAAACUCCUGUGGUCUAAGUCUGUUAGGAUUUAAACCCCUGUGGUCUAAGUCUGUUAGGAUUUAUGCCAUUCUGUUAAAUAAUGCUAACGUGGCUGCCACAUAUAUGCCACGUGGCUGCCAAAUGUCUGCCACGUGGCAAAAAAAAUAAUUUUUUAUUUUUUUUAAAAAAAACCUGAAUUUUUACAAAAAAAAAAAAAAAACCAGAUCUGCAAGAAGAAGAAGACGGAAGAGGGAGAGGGAGGAGGGGGCGAGGAGAGGGCUCCGGCGAGGGGGAGCUGGUCUCCGGCGGGAAGAAGAAGAAGAAGAAGAAGAAGGAAGAGGGAGAGGGAGGAGUCGCGCGGGGAGACCGGCGGGAAGAAGAAGAAGAAGGAAGAAGGAGAGGGAGGAGGGUCGCGCGGGGAGAGGGCUCCGUCGGGGGGGGGAGCUGGUCUCCAGCGCGAAGAAGAAGAAGAAGAAGAAGGAGAAGAAGUCCGGCGGGGUGGGGGAACGGGUGGAGGGCGGGGGGGGGGAGUUUUCUGGGUUUCUGGUUUUUUUUUUUUUUUUUUUUUUUUUGGUAAAAAUUCAGGUUUUAAAAAAAAAAAAAUUAUUUUUGCCACGUGGCAGACAUUUGGCAGCCACGUGGCAUAUAUGUGGCAACCACGUCAGCAUUAUUUAACCGAAGGGCAUAAAUCCUAACAGACUUAGACCACAGAGGUUUAAAUCUGAAUUUUUUUACCACAGGGGUUAUCAUCUGAAUACCUUAUGACCACGGGAACCAUUUAUCCGAUUAGGCCAAAAGAAAACCAAUCCCUCUGUGGGAAGGAAACAAAAUUUAAUUUCAAGGUUAGCGACGCUUAUGAACUUGUGGAACGAGAGAUGUGCACAUCCCUCUCCAAUCAAAACAAUAAGAAAUGAAUGCAAUCAUUAACAAACUACACGUAUCAACGAAAUAAUACGUUUUAGCGGUCGAGUGAUAUUUUUAUUUCAACAAGCCUGUGGAGCCUGAUCAUCUAUUUACACACUACUAACGCUUAUUCCUCCAAGGGUAAUACUACUUCUCUCUCAUCCCAUGCUAUGUACUCGUUCCCAUGAUUUGGGACUUGCAAGAUGCUAGACACUUUUUUAAUACAUACGAUAUUAUCUGCAUUAAAGAAUAAAGGAGUGAGCUAAGCCUGAUAAUGGAUUAACCAUAAUAACUUGGUUCGAAUUUACUUUUGGGAAAAUUAAACAUAAGACAUCUCACAAGAAAAGAAGAAUACCAUAAAAUACCACUAGACUGUAAUAACAUAAGAGGAAUGCAAGACAAACAUAAAAGGGAAUGCUGGCAAUGACUCAUCUAAGUGCACUUAAUGUUGUUUUUAUCCUUUUAAGUGGUUCACGUAUUGUCCACGUGACAAAUAUAUACAUAACUUCUGAUGCAAUGUUGAGUGAUAAUUUAGCAACGGAGAGGUUGACACGACUGAAAUAAAACUUCAACAUGACUGAAAUAAAAACUCCAUGUAUUUUUUACUGAAAUAAAAACUCCAUGAAAAACCUAACACGAACUUACAAGUUUGGCAAAUAAAUGGACAAAAAAACCUCUAUGAAGGUUGAAAGAUCAAUAUUCAAAUUGUAUGUAUUCCUUUCUUUUUAGUGGCAUUUCCAAUUAGGGGUGGGUUCGGUUCGGUUUUUUGUCAAAACCGAAAAUCGAACCGAAAUUACUGUUCGGAUCAAUUUGGUUCGGUUUUCUAUUGGUUUGUAUUCAGUUCGGUUUUUUUGGAUCCAAUUUCGGCCCGGUUUGAUUUUUUUUUUUUUUCCAAUAGCAAAAAAAAAGUCCUAAGAAACAUAAGCACCCAAAAUAUAUGAAUAAUACUAUUGAAGAUGACUUCUCCAACAUGAAACGACCAUCAGAAAUUCCAGCCCACGUCUCUGCAAAGGUCAUAACAUUACAGCAAGGUUAAAGAUGUGAGUCCCAAACUUCAACACAGUCAUGGCAAUUUGAUCUCAUUGAGUUUGAACUUGAGCUUGAGGCCCUUGAGACCUUUGACACCAUUGACUUCAUCUAAUUCACACAAAAUAAUAAGAGGAUAAAUGAAAUUGAACAACACUAAAUUUAAAAUACAAAAAUAGUAGGUUUCCAUAUUCAUGUCCAUGCUUUCCAGAUUCAUAUAAAAAUAUUUUUCAAUUACUAUAUAGAGUGUAAUGCUCCAGAACUCCCUAAUUCCAUAUUGACAAACAAAAUCAGAAGGCCUACCAUCAACGUUCAUCACAAAAUCAGAAGGCCUACAAUUACUAGUUCUAAGUUCUAAGUUCUAACAUAGUAGACACUGCAAACCAACCAAUAACUAGUUCUAAUCAAUAACAGGACACUCCAUAGAGUGAACUUGGGCAAAAUAUAUGCAUCAAAAUCUAAAGAACCAAUGAAUAAGAAAUUGACAAACUGGGAAGCAAGCUGACCUCAACACAAAUUUUCAUCACCAGUGCAGAAAAAUAAGCUCAAAAUGCAGCAAACAUCAAGUCCCAAACUUUAACAAGUUAUGAGAACCAGUUCUAUGAAAGCACACAUUACGUCCCAAACUUUAACAGGUUAUCAAACAGGUUCAUAGCAGAUACUUGGAAAUCUAAUGGGGUUCAUAAAAAAACUAUAGUUAUACGCUAUAAAUCACGGAAUUUGUUGCCAAACACAAUGGUUUCGACAGGGUUAGAAACUUAGACAGCACUUUUACUCGUUGGGGUUGGCAAAUUUUUCCCAAUCUUGCCUAACUUUCACAAUCAGUUCAACAAGAAAAAGGCAAACAUAUAAGAGAUCCAGAGGAACAAAGAUGGAUGUUUGGUGUGACCUCCAUAUGAAUCCCAGAGUAUAAAACUAUUUGGCAUGUAUUUGAAAGGUAGAGAUCGAAAGUUUAUGUAGAAAGCAAGGAAUAUUAGAAGGGAGUGAAGUUGUUGUAGGUGAGAGUCCAUAGAGAGAGUCUAUCAGACGAGGAGUAGAGAGACAAGAGGCGUAAGAUUUGGAGAGGGAAAACAUGGGGAUUGUCAAGUAAAUUCAUCACAAACCCUACGCCUCUUGUGGUAAUCCUUUGAAAAUGUAAGAUCCAAAUUACAACCAUGGACUUGGCAGGUUGGAGAGAGGAAGAGAGGAAGGAGAGAGAGAGAGACUGAGGAAGCAGAGAUGAAGAAAGCAAUGAAUGGGAGAGUGUUUGAAAAUGAAAAGGGGUGACGGUUCGAUUCGGUUCGGUCCAGUUUUCAGACCUUAAAAAUCGAAACCGAACCAACCAAAUUCGGUUCGGUUUGGUUUAACACAUUCGAUUUGGUUUUUUUCGACCUCGAUUCGGUUUGGUUGUCAGUUUUUUUCGAUUUUCGGUUUUUCCAACCCACCCCUACUUCCUUCAUCCAAAAUCCUCUCUCUCGUCUGUCGUCUACUUUUAAAUGAUUAAUUUCUCACAAGAGUAAACUGUCAAUUUGCCCCCUGAACUAUCACCCAACUUUCGAUUUGCCCCCUGAACUUUUUAAUUGGAAAAUUAAGGACUUAAACUAAUUUUUUUGGCCGAUUUCCCCCCUACCGUUAGUUUUUCAUAAAUUUCAUUCAAAUUAACGUUAACUCUUAUCAUGUGCAAACCACGUAACUCUCAUUUGUGGACAAAAGCGUCAUUUCACUAGACCUUCAAACAGAAAAGCUAUAGAAUCACACAUAUUUGCAUAGGUUUAUAUUUUAGAAAUCUAAGGUUUUCAAUUAUUUUAAAGAAUGAAGUGACCGAACUACCCACACAUGUUGUGCAUAUGCUUCCAUUUAACAGAAAUUUGGAUGGAAUGAAUGAAAAAUUAACAUCAGGGGGCAAAUCGGCCAAAAAAAUUAGUUUAAGUCCUUAAUUUUCCAAUUAAAAAGUUCAGGGGGCAAAUCAAAAGUUGGGUGAUAGUUCAGCGGGCAAAUCGGCAGUUUACUCUUUCUCACAAAAUUUACAGAUAAUAUUGUUAAAUCGAAUCGGAGCGACGCAAUCUGUGAAGAUAGCUCUUCAGUUGACGUCCAUCAUCCCCCUCAUCAUCCUAAUUUCUCUAUGCCUGGUUGCCCCUCUCAUCCACGCCAAGGACGUCAACUAUUGCGGUGGGUUUCUCACACUAACCGUUUUCUCUUUUCCUUUAAUUUAUGAAAGCAUGAUACUUUCCUUUCGGAACAAGUUUUCAAUUCUCUGUUUGUUUCCUGAGAAAAUUGCAAAUUUUCCACCUUACAGUAAUUCAACUAAUUGCUUCAUUGUUUGUAGUCAAAUACGAUUUGGGCUCUUCUGUUUUUGAUACAAUCACAACAAGAAGGAAUCUUUACUAUGUAUAUGCAUCUACACUCUCUAGCUGAUUAGACAAAGUCAACAUCUUUGAUAUGUAUUUGCAAUUUCAAAUUGUUUAAACAAAAAUAUAAAAUUUGGGUUUUGUUUCUCUUUCGAUAGUUUUGGUAUUGGAUUUAUGUAUUCAAUCGAAUGGUAUUUCGGUGUCGAAUUUUGUUAUGGUUUGUUUGGUUCUUGUUAUACUGAUGUUGGUUAAAUGAAACUUAAGCGGAUUUUGGAGUAUCUUCGGAUUGUAGGAAGUGUAGAGCGAUGGAAAUACUUAACAAGUUUAUGAGAAAUCUAAGUUUCUACAGCAGAGCUCUUGUAUUACUUCUUAUUGUAACUCUCUUGAUACAAAAUGAUAUGCCAAAGGCUAUAUAUAUAGUGAAUACAAAGUACUAGAGAGUUCUAACUAGAAAGUUCUUCCUAGAUAACUUAACAGACAUAGGCUAGGAACAAUGACUCUAGAAUAAUUGUUCUUGGGAAAGUCUAGAGUCUUAACAUUUAGGAGAGUGCAUUAAUUCCAACCCAGAUAAGAAGGCUGACUAUGAUGUCAAGGUCUCUGCGGUUGAGAUUAAUCUUUACCCCGUGGCAAGAGGCAAGCUUGCCAGCUUCAGCAUUUCUGAAACUGCAGGUUCUAUCUCACACUUGUAACUUUUUGAGUGAGUUUUUGUUUGCAUGUAAUUGUUAUUAGAUAAACACAAAAACGAAUCAGAUAAUCCAACACUGUUUGAAGAGCUUUUGGGAAUUUAGUUUUAACUAGAGUAAACUCGUAUAUGUGGUAAUAGGUGUAUCAAUCUCUUGGGGGAAAUUGGUGAUUGAGGUUUCAUACUUUGGUUGGCACAUCCACAGUGAGACUCAUGACCUUUGCCGCAGAAACAUCUUGCCCAGUUUCAACCGGUGAUUUUGUGAUUGCCCACUCGCAAGAUUUACCAGGAUAUACUCCACCUAUAAGUCCUCCUUGCCAUAUCUACUUAUUAUAUUAUUUUGGCUUUUAGUGCUACCCGUGAGUUGUCCCUACAAACUUGAAUAAGCCUAUGAGUUUAGUUGUUGGUUUCUGUUUUGACCAAUACAAAGUUUAAGUUGAUCCCGCCUGAAUUUUUUGAAUAGAAUGAAAUAGUUUAUGCUUAACUGUUAGAUUGUCACAUUAGAAAAAGGAUGAAAACAGCCAAAGGUCGUAUUGUAAGUAAUACAAAGGUGCAUUUUUCACGUUUGGGUCUGCUAACUAUUCGAAAUUGCUCUGUUUCUAGUUAGAUCUUUAGUCUUGUAACUUGUUACGCAUGCAAAAUGACGAUUUGAUAUGCUUUCGCUUCUUCAUUGUUGGACUCUCUCUCAUUUGCGGAGUGUUUUAUUUUAAUCCUUCUCAGUUUCUAACCCAAGGAUUUUCUUUCUUGUUUUGUAGUCUGUAGUUGAGUUAAUUAGAGGUUCCAAAAGAAGAAUCUGGUUUUAGUUUUGUCUUUCUUCCUCUUCUUUUGGCAAGAAGAUUAGAAAUAUGGCUGAGGAAGUUGUUUUAAGGGUACUUUGAGCACUCAAAGGCCCCAUCCUUAGGGAAGUGAAGUUGUGUCGCCGAUCAAGUUCUGGAUGCAGAACAUAAGCUAUUUUUUAUAAAAGGCUUUCUAAAUGACGUGGAUGCAAGACAAGUAAAGCAAGAAUUAGUAUGCAUUUUGGUUGAGUACUUGGUGAAAGAAGAAAAACUCAACCAAGUUGUUUCCAUUUGAGGAAUGGGAAGGUAUGGAAAAAUCACUUUUGCAAAACAAGUUUAUCAUCACAGUAAUGUUAGGGGUUACUUUGAUGGGUUUUCUUGGGUGUGUGUACUUAAUAAUGUCAAAUAGGAAAGUCUGGUAAGAAAUUUUAAUUGGACUUACUUCUGACACCAUGAGCUAACACAAAAUAUUGCAAAAUACUGAAAUACUUGAGAAACUUUGCAUCAUCCAACGAGAAAGGAAAUGUUUGGUGGUGUUUGAUGACAUUUGGAGUUGUGAUGCAUGGAACUCUUUGAAAUCUGGAUUUCCAAUUGAUGCAGAAAUAAAAGUCAAAUACUACUCACCACCCAUUGCUCAUAAGUAGCUCCAUGUGUAGACAGAAAUGGUUUGAAUCACAAAUCUCGUCUACAAAGUAAAGAUGAAAGCUUUUUGAGAAGAUAGUAACGUAGUGUACAAGUAAUUUCACACUCAGCUUUGCUAUGCUUUCUAGUUUUAUCAUUGUUUUGUUUUUUGCCUGUGGAAUAUGCUUAGUUUUCUUAUUUAUUAAGCAAGCUUGUUUUUUAGUCUAGAAUCAAUUUAGCCUUAUUAAUAGAUAUUCCCAAAUGAGUUUUUCUUGAUAAAGAAUAGAGGAAAAUGAUACAUUAGAGGAUGGGCGAUGCACUUCAUCGGGCAAAUUCAUCCAGCUUCUAGCAAAUGGCACACGUUCAUAAUUGUGGCAACAAAUUACUUCACCAAAUGGGUAAAAGCUUCAGCUGUGAAGACUAUCACUUCAACUGUAGUCAAGAAAUUCAUUGAAUCCAAGAUCUUACACAUAUUUGGAGUGCCCGAAAUAAUUGUCACAGACCACGGGCCAUCUUUUAUUUCAAAAGUAGAGGAGUUUACGAAUAAGUUCAAAAUAGAGAUGGUUCAGAUCAGUCCUUACUACCCCCAAUCAAAUGGCUAAGCAGAAGCCAGCAACAAGAUCAUGGUAAACAUUAUUAAGAGAAUGGUGGCCGAGAAAAUGGCAUGAGAAGUUGGGAGAAACUUUGUGGGCUUACAGAACUUCCAAGAAGGCAACAACUGGAACUUUCGGGCAAGAUGUUGUGCUCCCUAUGGAGAUUAAUGUAAGUUCUGUCAAAAUUUUAUAUCAAUUCGGGCUACACAGUGAAUAGUACAUUCAAGCUAUGUGUCAAGGAGUUGAAGAUCUUGAUAUAGCCCGAAUUGAGGCUCUAAAUAAAAUUCAAGAGGGGAAGGAAGUUGUUGCUCGAGCAUACAAUAAAAAUGUGAAGUUGAAAAACUUCAAAAAAGGAAAGUUAGUAUGGAAGGCAAUUCGCUUGAUUUUGGGAAGUGGAGCUCAACUUGGGAAGGUCUUUCCAUUAUUCACCAUGUAUUGGACAAAGGGGGAUAUUACUUGGCAGAUUAGGAAGGAAGCUUACAUAAACAUCCAAUUAAUGCUAAAUUCUUAAAGAAAUAUCACCCAACCUUGUGAGAUGUUAGAGAUUGUUACAUUGAUGAAGUGUAGGCAUUACAUGGAAUCUAAAGGCAGUCCCGGGCUCAUCAUUUUUAGGUCUCAAGAAAAGAAGGCAAGCCAAAGUAAAUUGAAGAAGUCAUUUUUAUUUCAGUACAUGUUGAAGAUUACAUCAAAUUUAGCUUAAUAGUUUUACAUCCUUGACUAGGGCAUCUAUCCUAGAAUGGUGGGUUUGCAUUUUGCCUGACUCUUCUUAAAAAUUGCUAAUAUUUCCUAAAUAUGUUCUAGUACAUCCAACUUCCGUUUGUUGUCUUAAAUUCUUCCAAUCUUCGGAACCUUCAAGCCCGACCAAGUUGUUUUGGCCGAUAGAGUCAUGGUAGUUGAUCCUGAAGCAAACACCUAUGAUGAUGAAGUGAUCAAGAAAGCAAAAGCUAUGGGGAAGUUUGGGCUUAUGGAUAACAGCACGAGUAGGAUCUACCGGUGCGAUUAAGGUUGCUCGGUUACUUUUCAAAGCCACAUAAGUCCUGAAACGGAAGCUUGAAGCAGUGCGCCUUUCUGAAGAUAUUAUAAAAGAUGGUUUCUCAUUAGGAAUGUUGUUUCCAACAGCAAUUGAGACCUAAUAAGUCCAUGCAGGUCCUAAGCAAAGUACUCAUCCCUUUUUGAAGAAGAGUUCAGUGUGGAGGCCUACCUGAGGACGAUGAAGGCCGUUAAGAGGACAGUUCAUGGUAGAAAUCCCCUCACCAGUCUCGCAGGGAGAUUAAACCCAAGCCAAUAUGGGUACCAUUAGGAAAUUUGAGGCAAAGGUGGGAAGAAAUAAAUUUGGAGCCAAGGGAGAAGAGUUGAAGAACAAGAGGAAUUCUUGAAGAAUUUGAACUAUGGGAGUUCUAAAGAGUUGUGAAAAUUCAAAGGCUUGAAAUGGUUAGGAUAUUCUGCCAAAAAGAUCAAGUAAGGAUUAUAUAUAGAGGAAUGGUUGAGUAACGGUAGUGUUCGUGGGGAAGUGUAAAGGGUUUCAGGUAAACGAAUGGUUGCAUUAAAAUGGCACAAGUUCCGAGUAGGGGCGUGCGACGAUAGCGGCUGUUCAAUCAUCAUUUACGCCUCGGUUUGCAGGCUCAACAACGAUUGAAGGGGGCACUAUUUGGGUUAAUAUUUAAAUUUUGGGCCUAGAGGAAAGAAAGCCCAAAAGAACUAAGAAAUGAGACUCGCCUGAGGCCCAGCGCCCAUCCAUCUAUCUUAAGGACAAUAUGACGGUCCCUCAUUAAUGCAAAAGAUAGGUGCUUACAAUAUGUCUAGAUAACCUUAUUUUAAUAUAGUAGUUUAAUUCAAUUAACCAAUAAGUUAAGAGAACAAACUUAAAAAUAGUAAAUUAUUGAGGGGCUAUAUUUAGCCCUUUUCGGUUGGAGAUGAUAUAUAAAUAUAGCCGGACAUUGUUCAUUUAAAAAUAAUAUUUUGGAAGACUAUAAUUAUGGACAGGCAACAUUUAACCCUUUCGGUUGAAGAUGGUCUAACAGCAAUUUUAGUGUAGUAAGGCCCUUCUAGGCAAUGGCCAAACUGUGAACACUAACUGUCUUGUAAAUCUUCACCCUAUACUAAAUAGUCCAAACAAUUCUUAUUAAAAUAUUAGUAUUUUUAUAUAAACUAAUAAAAAUAAUUUUAUUUUUAAUUUCAUAUAGGAAUUUUAACUGAUCUGGUCAGGUCAUGUGUCAUUGUCCGAAAGUCUAAUGUUUAUGGAUAGAUUUUCGAUAAGAUUUUUAACCAAUUUUUCUCGCGUCACAUGUUACUAGAAUCAUUGAAGAUAUAUUUUCGAUAAGAUUUUUAAUCAAUUUUGUUACGUCACGUGUCACCAUCUGUUUAAAAACCUUGAGGAUAGAUUUCAAUAAGAUUUUUAAUCAAUUAUGUUACGCCACGUGUCACUAUCUGUUUAAAAACCUUGAUAAAUUUCAAUAAGAUUUUUAAUCAAUCACGGUGUGGCAGGUGAUUAAAAUCACUCAGAAUUACGUAGCAAAAUUAAAAUCACUCAGAAUCCUUCUCUAUAAUGAGUAAGAAAAAUAAUUGUUUGAGCAAGAGAGAGAAACGUUUGAUCUCCACGAGGGAGAAAAUGUUUGAUCUCCAUCUUUUCAUUUCUCAAAUCUUCUGUUCUCUCUCAACCAUUUAAAAGAAUGGAGUUUUAACGAAAAGUCCGCGGUACUGUUCAUUUUAACGAAAAACCAUAUUUUUACACUAAAAAGUCAAUCUUGGUACUAUUCAUUUUACCCUUUAUUUUGUCUUUAUCAUUCAAACUCAAAGUUUUCAAGCUCUUUUCAUUAGUUUUCCUUUAAAAUGAUUCUUCAGAAUCCAAAAUAAAGAUCCAAUCUGAGCCUCAGUGAAAUCCUGCAACCCAUCGAUAAUGUAAUCUGAAUCCAUCCAUUCUCGCCGACCCUUUGCUUCUACCAGAGGAAGCUUAAACGGUACUUUCUUUCCUCCCUCUCUCAUUUCUUAGUUGGUUUGUUUUCUUUUUUUUUUUUUUUUUUUUUUUUAAUUUUUUUUAUCUUAAGCCAUUUGCGCAAGGAGACCAAUUUCGCUUGCUGGGUUACAGAGUAAGGGGAGUUGGUUCGUGAAAUGGAAGGGUUUAGGUUUAAAGCCCAAAUUAUCAGUUCUCUCCACCUAAUUACUAACCAAUUAUACAUUUUUACUUUUGAUGUCCUGCAACUGUGAACUAUUUCACAUUUGCUUUCUUACAACCAAGGUUUAAAAUAUCGAUGACAUCGGAAAUAUCGGUAGUCUUAAAAACACGAAAAUUUCGUUCGAAAUAUUGGGAUAUUAUCGAUGUCGAUAAAAAUUGAAUAAAAACCAAGGAAAUUGUAAGAAAAACUUGGAAAUUUUUAUUGAAACUUUGCAGAAUGUUUAUUUAGUCAAUUAUCUAUUAGUUUAUCACAAAAAAUUGGAAGGAAAUGCAUUGCACGAUGGAUUUAACUUAUUUAAGUUGAUUAUAUAGCGAGCUGGCAAACAUUGUAAGUGUAAAAAAUAUGUAGUAAUUAAUGAAAGAAGUUUAAACAUACCAUAAUCAUUUAUAUAUAAUGAAUUAGUACAAUAUUUUACACUUUAUACAUUGCAUGCUAAGAUACAUGAGUGACUUAGUAUCACAUAGAGUUCAUAUCAAGGUCUAAAAUAUCGAUGAUAUCAGAAAUAUCGGUAGUCCAAAAACACGGAACUUUCGAUGGAAAUAUCGGGAUAAUAUCGAUAUUUUAGACCUUCCUUACAACUAUGAACUAUUUUCUUGCUGAUCCUUAUUUUUUGCUAGGUUUUCUUUGUUUCGCUGCGUUUCUUUUGUUCUCAAUCUUGUGUCAGCAGCUUCCGUCACCCGGGAAUUGGUAUGUAUAAAUUUACUUCUUAUUUCAUUCACACAAUCAAUACAGUAAUGCAUUUUUUUUUUCUUUCUUCUGUUGGCAUUAUAUGAGAAACGAAUUAUCGCCGAAUAUAUUGUGAUUUUUAUUAUAAUAAAAUCUUUAUAAGAGAUGUCAAACCGUUUGCAUAAGCUUUAGUUCAAUGCACAUUACUCUUGUAUUGUUUGUACAUUAAUUGAAAGAUGGAACUUUUAACCCGAGGAUAAUCUGAAAUCUGCUGUAUACCCUGCUGGACAUUCAAUUUGUUUCUUAUCAGUCAAUGAUCAUGCCACUGUAAUUGUAGGCAGUUUGGGAUGAACUUUAGUUUAAAGGUUUUUCAACAUUCAUAAAAAUAAAUGUGCCGUCCGGAUAACUUAAUGAGUUUCAAUCUCAUUACCGUUCUAUAGCAGGUUGAAAUUUUCUAUAAUGUUCGCGUUUGUGCACUUGUUCAUUCCUCAGGAAAAGAGGUCAAUGGAGAAACCACGACUUUAUGUGAUAUGCAAAGCUGUCAUAACUCAACACCAAUACCCAUGACACCCUCACCUUUGUAAGCUUCUUCAUACAUGCCUCUCCUACCAAAUACACCAACAUGCUUACUCACAAUAGUCCACUCUUCAACUGAGACAUUUUUUGGAUAGAAGCCCUACAGGUUUAGGCUAAAGGCGUCACAUUGGACCCUAAAAAUAAUACAAACCACGUAAAAUAGUUUUUCGUCCCAAGACAUUAUAUGCUGGCAGUGUGCUUUAUUGAUUUUAACACUAAAAUUCAAAAGAUAAUAAAAAAAUGAUAUAAGCUUUAUAGUCCAAUAAUGUAAUCCUCUUUCAAUCAUGGUGUGUGCAAUAGACUUACAAUGUUUUUAUCACACAAGACUAUUUGGUCUCUCUAUAUAAGACUCUGUAUUUUAAGUUUAUCUACAACCUGGUUCAACAAAGGAUCUAUAACAUUACCUUAAACGCAAUAUGAGGUCGUUCAGCGUGAUUUUUUAACACAAAAUGAUGGGGUUGUCAAACCCCUCAUAUUGCAACAAAUAGGAGCACAUGCUAAAAUUUAUGAAGUAUAAGACCGAAUGUAUCAUUUUCCUCUUUUUAUCAAGAAAACCCAUUUGGAAAUAUCUAUUAAUAAGACUAAAUUAAUUCUAGACUAAAAAACAAAUUUGCUUAAUAAAUUAGAAAGCUAAGCAUAUUCCACAAAUAAAAGACAAUGAUAAAACUACAAAACAUAAUAAAGCUAAGUAAAAUUACUUGUAUACUCCGUUACUAUUUUCUCAAAAAGCUUCCAAUUUUACUUUGUAAACGAGAUUUGUGAUUCAAACCAUUUAUGU